RNAcentral lists this ribosomal RNA (319 nucleotides) under Fusarium oxysporum. Its description in RNAcentral is "SSU rRNA". It matches the Rfam family "Eukaryotic small subunit ribosomal RNA", at positions 32 to 354 of the family's 1831-position model. The record is from RNAcentral. Lineage: Eukaryota; Fungi; Ascomycota; Sordariomycetes; Hypocreales; Nectriaceae.
GUUGUCUCAAAGAUUAAGCCAUGCAUGUCUAAGUAUAAGCAAUUAUACCGCGAAACUGCGAAUGGCUCAUUAUAUAAGUUAUCGUUUAUUUGAUAGUACCUUACUACUUGGAUAACCGUGGUAAUUCUAGAGCUAAUACAUGCUAAAAAUCCCGACUUCGGAAGGGAUGUAUUUAUUAGAUUAAAAACCAAUGCCCUUCGGGGCUCACUGGUGAUUCAUGAUAACUCCUCGAAUCGCAUGGCCUUGUGCCGGCGAUGGUUCAUUCAAAUUUCUUCCCUAUCAACUUUCGAUGUUUGGGUAUUGGCCAAACAUGGAUAGC